UGCAUCGGCCGGGAAUCGAACCCGCGAGGCAGGUGAGAAUUCUACCACUAAACCACCGAUGC
This 62-nucleotide transfer RNA is filed under the name Cordylochernes scorpioides. RNAcentral's name for it is "tRNA-OTHER". Lineage: Eukaryota; Metazoa; Arthropoda; Arachnida; Pseudoscorpiones; Chernetidae. The record is from RNAcentral.